CUUGCGCAGUUCAGUAUGGAUUUGUUGAUAUUGUACCUCCAAUGACUGAUCACCAUGAUGAGACCAUACAGCCUAUAUACCUGACAUACC
Long non-coding RNA from Haliotis rubra (blacklip abalone), 90 nucleotides. RefSeq lists it as uncharacterized. Lineage: Eukaryota; Metazoa; Mollusca; Gastropoda; Lepetellida; Haliotidae. The record is from RefSeq and is a predicted model, not a curated record. The transcript has 3 exons.